This is a long non-coding RNA of Cavia porcellus (domestic guinea pig), 2446 nucleotides long. RefSeq lists it as uncharacterized. NCBI's taxonomy places the organism in Eukaryota, Metazoa, Chordata, Mammalia, Rodentia, Caviidae. The record is from RefSeq and is a predicted model, not a curated record. The transcript has 2 exons.
UCUGGAAGUGUUCCGGUUCUUUCUCAGCCGGUAGAUUCCUCUUCCGGGUCUUCUGUUUCUUUUAUAUAUUUUAAUUUUUACUUUGAUUAGGGCGUGUUUAUAGGAGCUUGUGAUGGCGUCCGUCAUGAAGGGAGCAGGGGACACAGCUGGUUCCUUCUAUUCCCGGCUCUCGGCCCCUUCCCAUCUGUAAGAGGUCUGUCUCCUGUCCCCGAGCAUUUCUUUCCGUGUCUCCCACGAGGAAGAUGACAGACUCCUCCCACAGGAGCGGCCUCCACGGCCGUGGCAGGGAAGGUGGUGCGGCCUGGGCGUGAGGUCAGUCUGUGUUCGCUCUGCUCCUUCUCGGUGGGACCACGUCCCUCGUGAGCCUGCACCCCGGGGAUCUGAGUCCACGCCACUCGAGCUGUUGUCCUGGCGUCAAACCGGGUCCUCUGCACUGAGCUCCAUCACAGCCCUUUUAUCUGAGACAGGGCCUCCCUGCAUUGCCCAGCCUGGGUGGAGCUUGCAGUCCUCCUGCCUCAGCCUCCCAGGCAGAGUGCCAGGUGAAGGAGUGUGCCACUUCCCCGUUCCACGCUGAGACAGAUGAGCAAUCCGGAACAGAACAGCGAGGGCCGGUUCCGCUGCCCCAGGCCACACUGGGAGGGGGAGAGGCCACAGGAGGGAGCUGAAAGCCCACCAGCUUAAGCCACUGGGCUGCCCCUCACCUGCAUUUUGCGGAUCAGGCGGCUGGUUCAGAGAGGCUGCCCGGGGUGCCUGGAGACACACAGCCAGUGAGAAGCCUCGGGGCCCAGAUCUGAGCUCAAGUGGUGGAGGGCGUGACGGAGAUGGUGGCCAGCUGUGGGUCCUCAGGUCUGUGCCCAGCUCCGAGCUGGCCACGUCCAAGGUGGGGACCUGCCGCCAUGGGCUCUGAUGCAGGACCUAUGGCUGUGCCCAGGAAAGCAAGUGACCAGGGCACUGAGGAAAACACAUCCUGUCUGCUCCCCAAAGAGAAUGACAUGACCAGUGUCCCCUGUCCAUCUGCUGGUGCCCACUGGCCCUAACCUAGGCACCUUUCCCAGCUGGAGACUUUUAUUUUUGUUUUUGGAGACAGGGUCUCACUAUAUUUUCCGGGCUGGCCUUAAACUCACCGUGUUGCCUAGGCUGUUCUUGGACUCAUAGAGAUCCGCCUGCCUCAGCCUCCUGAGGAGCCGGGCCUGCAGUGUGCACGCAGCCCUGUGCUUUCUCAGCUCAUUCAUGUGUCCUCUUGGGGUCUGAGAAAGGCUGGGCGUGGGUGAGCAGCUCGGGCGAAGUGACUCGGGCCGGCGAGGAGGACAUGGAGCCUUCCGCACAGAGAGCCUGCAUUCCUCGCCGGGUCCCUGCCGAGCCCUGCUCCGCAGCAAGUCCCCGAGCUGGCAGACAGAUGGACGGAGGGACCGAGCUGCCUCCCCAACAAGCACGGGCUCGCUCUCUGCAGAGGCUGAAUUCUAACUGACAAAUUGGAGAGGUUCCCCGAGGCGAGGGCUCUCGAGAGAGCGCUGUCAUCCUCGCUGAAGUGUGAUUUAUAACACACUCCUAUUUGCCAGAGCCGCCUGCUCCCGGGAAGGGCGCCGGGCACGGGAGCAGGAGGUCUCCGAGUCCUGACCCCAAGCUGAGACAGCUCCGUGGACGCGGUCUUCUGGUGCAGAGGGACUGGACCGGGAAGCCUAGACUGACCCGUGAGGGGCCACCCAGUUCAUUAGGACAGGGCAGCAGUGGCCUGCAGCUGGCUUUGGGGUUCCGUGUUCUGGUGGACAGAUCUAAGGUCUCACGGAAGAGGCGGUUUGGAGCUGAGGUGGUGUUCAGUGGCUGACCUUGGGGUUUAGUGCCCGGCCCCAGUGUAGCGGGGGCAGGGAGAAAGAGACUGAGGAAGAAGGAGGAGAGAACGGGGGAAGAGCUUGUGUUCCCCAGCAGCUGGGGCUCCCCGUAACCUGAGGGUGACGCGGGCAGCAUCAGAUCCCAGGCUCUGCGCCUGCAGCCCGGACCCUCACAGCGCCUGUGAAGCCACAGGAAAGCAGGGGCAGCGGCUGACCCCUCUGGGCAGCCUGGUGGAAGCUGCCACCUCAUUUUGCCCGAGAUAACCAGAAACACUCUAAGCGGAGUGGGCAGACCCGGAUUUGAUCUCCGCAUCUGACUGUUUAGCAGAAGUCAAGCAGCCGAUUUUCAACAAUGUCUUCCGUAUCCUGCAACUUCCUAAAAUCUCCAAGGGCGUAACCUGAGCUCGUGAAAACUGAUCUCGAAUGUCAGGGGGCCACAACCGCCCUUCCGAGUUGGCCCUUCUGAGUUGUAAUUAGGGACGUGGGAGCGGCCUUUCGCAUUUGACUUGACACGGCUUUUCCUCUGUUCCGCUGCUUUGGAGGGCGUUCGCAGGGUUUCACCAUUUCUUUGUUAAAAGAAACAGCUGAAAAAAUAAAAAAGAAAGAAACAGCUGAAA